This 253-nucleotide ribosomal RNA is filed under the name uncultured bacterium. RNAcentral describes it as "partial 16S ribosomal RNA". It matches the Rfam family "Bacterial small subunit ribosomal RNA", at positions 524 to 776 of the family's 1533-position model. The record is from RNAcentral.
UACAGAGGGGGCAAGCGUUGUUCGGAAUUACUGGGCGUAGAGGGCGCGUAGGCGGCCUGUUAAGUCGAACGUGAAAUCCCCGGGCUCAACCCGGGAACUGCGUCCGAUACUGGCAGGCUUGAAUCCGGGAGAGGGAUGCGGAAUUCCAGGUGUAGCGGUGAAAUGCGUAGAUAUCUGGAGGAACACCGGUGGCGAAGGCGGCAUCCUGGACCGGCAUUGACGCUGAGGCGCGAAAGCCAGGGGAGCAAACGGG